GAGAUUCAACAUGGAACGAGUGGCGGACGGGUGAGUAACACGUGGGUAACCUGCCCUUAAGUGGGGGAUAACAUUUGGAAACAGAUGCUAAUACCGCAUAGAUCCAAGAACCGCAUGGUUCUUGGCUGAAAGAUGGCGUAAGCUAUCGCUUUUGGAUGGACCCGCGGCGUAUUAGCUAGUUGGUGAGGUAAUGGCUCACCAAGGCGAUGAUACGUAGCCGAACUGAGAGGUUGAUCGGCCACAUUGGGACUGAGACACGGCCCAAACUCCUACGGGAGGCAGCAGUAGGGAAUCUUCCACAAUGGACGCAAGUCUGAUGGAGCAACGCCGCGUGAGUGAAGAAGGCUUUCGGGUCGUAAAACUCUGUUGUUGGAGAAGAAUGGUCGGCAGAGUAACUGUUGUCGGCGUGACGGUAUCCAACCAGAAAGCCACGGCUAACUACGUGCCAGCAGCCGCGGUAAUACGUAGGUGGCAAGCGUUAUCCGGAUUUAUUGGGCGUAAAGCGAGCGCAGGCGGUUUUUUAAGUCUGAUGUGAAAGCCCUCGGCUUAACCGAGGAAGCGCAUCGGAAACUGGGAAACUUGAGUGCAGAAGAGGACAGUGGAACUCCAUGUGUAGCGGUGAAAUGCGUAGAUAUAUGGAAGAACACCAGUGGCGAAGGCGGCUGUCUGGUCUGUAACUGACGCUGAGGCUCGAAAGCAUGGGUAGCGAACAGGAUUAGAUACCCUGGUAGUCCAUGCCGUAAACGAUGAAUGCUAGGUGUUGGAGGGUUUCCGCCCUUCAGUGCCGCAGCUAACGCAUUAAGCAUUCCGCCUGGGGAGUACGACCGCAAGGUUGAAACUCAAAGGAAUUGACGGGGGCCCGCACAAGCGGUGGAGCAUGUGGUUUAAUUCGAAGCAACGCGAAGAACCUUACCAGGUCUUGACAUCUUUUGAUCACCUGAGAGAUCAGGUUUCCCCUUCGGGGGCAAAAUGACAGGUGGUGCAUGGUUGUCGUCAGCUCGUGUCGUGAGAUGUUGGGUUAAGUCCCGCAACGAGCGCAACCCUUAUGACUAGUUGCCAGCAUUUAGUUGGGCACUCUAGUAAGACUGCCGGUGACAAACCGGAGGAAGGUGGGGAUGACGUCAAAUCAUCAUGCCCCUUAUGACCUGGGCUACACACGUGCUACAAUGGAUGGUACAACGAGUUGCGAGACCGCGAGGUCAAGCUAAUCUCUUAAAGCCAUUCUCAGUUCGGACUGUAGGCUGCAACUCGCCUACACGAAGUCGGAAUCGCUAGUAAUCGCGGAUCAGCACGCCGCGGUGAAUACGUUCCCGGGCCUUGUACACACCGCCCGUCACACCAUGAGAGUUUGUAACACCCGAAGCCGGUGGCGUAACCCUUUUAGGGAGCGAGCCGUCUAAGGUGGGACAAAUGAUUAGGGUGAAGUCGUAACAAGGUAGCCGUAGGAGAACCUGCGGCUGGAUCACCUCCUUUCUAAGGAA
This 1481-nucleotide ribosomal RNA is filed under the name Lacticaseibacillus paracasei. RNAcentral describes it as "bacterial SSU rRNA". It matches the Rfam family "Bacterial small subunit ribosomal RNA". Lineage: Bacteria; Bacillati; Bacillota; Bacilli; Lactobacillales; Lactobacillaceae. The record is from RNAcentral. RNAcentral also lists the same sequence under 1 other name.